This is a long non-coding RNA of Bufo gargarizans (Asiatic toad), 902 nucleotides long. RefSeq lists it as uncharacterized. The transcript has 7 exons. The record is from RefSeq and is a predicted model, not a curated record. NCBI's taxonomy places the organism in Eukaryota, Metazoa, Chordata, Amphibia, Anura, Bufonidae.
GAAAGAAGAGGACCGACCAACCGACCGACAGACAGACACCAAGGGCGAGCGCUGGGCAUUGCAGCAGAAGUACUGCACUCCAGGACCAUCUUCUCCUGCCUCACUGCCUGCUGGACUGGUCUAUAGACUGUGAGAACAAAUUGGUUCCUUUCUACUUGAUGCCUCCUCGUUGGACCUGGCUGGUUAAUUUUGAUGUUUCAUUUGGAUUUCUGUUCUGGUUGAGAAGCACAACUCGUGCUUAUUCACAAUCAAAUUUUGUGAGAACAAAUUGGUUCCUUUCUACUUGAUGCCUCCUCGUUGGACCUGGCUGGUUAAUUUUGAUGUUUCAUUUGGAUUUCUGUUCUGGUUGAGAAGCACAACUCGUGCUUAUUCACAAUCAAAUUUUGUGAGAACAAAUUGGUUCCUUUCUACUUGAUGCCUCCUCGUUGGACCUGGCUGGUUAAUUUUGAUGUUUCAUUUGGAUUUCUGUUCUGGUUAAGAAGCACAACUCGUGCUUAUUCACAAUCAAAUUUUGUGAGAACAAAUUGGUUCCUUUCUACUUGAUGCCUCCUCGUUGGACCUGGCUGGUUAAUUUUGAUGUUUCAUUUGGAUUUCUGUUCUGGUUAAGAAGCAUGACUCGUUCCUUUUCACAUUCAAAUUUUGUGAGAACAAAUUGGUUCCUUUCUACUUGAUGCCUCCUCGUUGGACCUGGCUGGUUAAUUUUGAUGUUUUAUUUGGAUUUCUGUUCUUGUUAAGAAGCACAACUCGUACUUAUUCACAAUCAAAUUUCAGUGAUUUACCAAGAUAUGGGUCAAGAAGCUUUAUGCCUUAUGUGGAGAAUCUUUGUUCUGGAACGCUUUUAACAUUUUUUUCUAUAUUUUAUAUGGUAACAUUAAAAAAAAAAAAUUAAAACCCCUAUCUCC